This 447-nucleotide ribosomal RNA is filed under the name Triticum aestivum (bread wheat). RNAcentral's name for it is "partial small subunit ribosomal RNA". The record is from RNAcentral. Lineage: Eukaryota; Viridiplantae; Streptophyta; Magnoliopsida; Poales; Poaceae.
AUGAAGGGACGGGGUGCUAACCUGGGGCGGGACCUCCGCGAGCGUAAGAAGGCCUUGUUGGCCGCCAUCCAAGUCUUAGACGAGUGGCUCUCUCGCUACGACUUAGAAGACCAGCUCUCCGUUAUCUAUACUGAUGAGGAGGCAUACUGGCGCCUCCGCGGGGCCCAGAAAUGGGUCUUGAAGGGCGACGCAAACACGGGCUACUUUCAGGCCAUUGCGAAUGGCCGACGUAGACGCAACACCACCCCCCUCCUCUGGGAUGGUGCCUCCCUUUUGCAGGAUCCCCGUGACAUCCGUAGCCAUGUCGACGGUUUCUAUAGGUCCUUGUUCUCUGCCUCUCCUAGGUGCAGCCUCUCCCUGGCGCCUGAUUGCUGGACCGGCUCCCAGCUGGUCUCUGCUGAGGAGAAUGCAGCCCUCACGGCCCCUUUCUCCGAGGACGAGGUCUAG